GAUGAACGCUGGCGGCGUGCCUAAUACAUGCAAGUCGAGCGAACGGACGAGAAGCUUGCUUCUCUGAUGUUAGCGGCGGACGGGUGAGUAACACGUGGAUAACCUACCUAUAAGACUGGGAUAACUUCGGGAAACCGGAGCUAAUACCGGAUAAUAUUUUGAACCGCAUGGUUCAAAAGUGAAAGACGGUCUUGCUGUCACUUAUAGAUGGAUCCGCGCUGCAUUAGCUAGUUGGUAAGGUAACGGCUUACCAAGGCAACGAUGCAUAGCCGACCUGAGAGGGUGAUCGGCCACACUGGAACUGAGACACGGUCCAGACUCCUACGGGAGGCAGCAGUAGGGAAUCUUCCGCAAUGGGCGAAAGCCUGACGGAGCAACGCCGCGUGAGUGAUGAAGGUCUUCGGAUCGUAAAACUCUGUUAUUAGGGAAGAACAUAUGUGUAAGUACCUGUGCACAUCUUGACGGUACCUAAUCAGAAAGCCACGGCUAACUACGUG
This 497-nucleotide ribosomal RNA is filed under the name uncultured bacterium. RNAcentral's name for it is "partial 16S ribosomal RNA". It matches the Rfam family "Bacterial small subunit ribosomal RNA", at positions 28 to 507 of the family's 1533-position model. The record is from RNAcentral.